GGCUGAUCUGACUACAGUGGUGUUUACAACUAAUUGACCACUAUCAGUUAUAGGUUUCUUUGUUCCUUCUUCACUGCCACUGCUUCACCUGACUAGCCUUAA
This 102-nucleotide Y RNA is filed under the name Microcebus murinus (gray mouse lemur). RNAcentral describes it as "Y RNA (ENSMICG00000045440.1)". It matches the Rfam family "Y RNA". Rfam says of the family: Y RNAs are components of the Ro ribonucleoprotein particle (Ro RNP), in association with Ro60 and La proteins. The Y RNAs and Ro60 and La proteins are well conserved, but the function of the Ro RNP is not known. In humans the RNA component can be one of four small RNAs -- hY1, hY3, hY4 and hY5. Lineage: Eukaryota; Metazoa; Chordata; Mammalia; Primates; Cheirogaleidae. The record is from Rfam by way of RNAcentral.